RNAcentral lists this unclassified non-coding RNA (3441 nucleotides) under Lytechinus variegatus (green sea urchin). Its description in RNAcentral is "profilin-4-like, transcript variant X1". The record is from RNAcentral. Lineage: Eukaryota; Metazoa; Echinodermata; Echinoidea; Temnopleuroida; Toxopneustidae.
AGAAUUCAAUCUGAUGUCAGCAUUGAGCGAUGUACAUGGCCUUAAUAUAGAGCUCUACCAUGUGCCUAAAUUGCUAGAUGUUCAUGUAUGCAGGAUUUUUGAAAAGGAAGCAUUUUGGAAAUUCAUGCAUUUUUUACUGGAAUGUUGUGCCAUACACGCGAGUUCUGAUUCAAAGAGUUGAGGUGAAACUUGUUUUGAAACAAGGAAUUAUAAUGUCUAUGGAGCGUGAUAAAGGAGAAGACGUGAUACCUGAACACCCAGAUCUUAAAUGGCUUGAUUCUUCAUUACCGGAUCGUGUUAAGAUGAAUCAGCUACAGAGUCUCCUUCAUGAUGCAUUGAUAGCUACAGGUCAUGUUGAGAACUGUGCUAUCAUUAGAAGAAAAGAUAUCUCCCUCAGAGCAAGCUCAGCUGGAUUCACACUUACUGGAGAUGAGAUGCAGAAGAUGAUAGAUGCAUUCAAAGACCCUCCCAGAACCAGAUUAGAAGGCCUAUACUUCCAUAAUAGACUAUACAAGUGUGUCAGGGCAGACAAGAACUCCAUCUAUGCUAAAUGUGACAAAGAUGGUAUCGUGCUAGUGAAGACCGCCACUCUAGUUAUCAUGGGAACAUACUCGGACAAUAUGUUUCCAAGUGUGUGUGUGGAAGCCAUUGAAAAACUAGCAUCAUACUUCAUAGAGAAGAGCAAAUGAAAGACUGCUGGUUCUGAAGAUUCAAUGUCUCAUUCCAGACAACAGAGGGAGCACUCACUCUAUCAAUGAAGAUAUCAAUGCCUGCCGUUCAAGAUAUCUUUAUGGCAUUCACAGGUGGCUCUCUCUCUAUGAUGCACUUUUCAUGAGGAUAUAAGAUUUCUUAAAAAUGAAAGUCAAAUAAGGUGAAAAAGUGGCAAAUGAGAAUGGGAAAAGUUUGUCCUUUUCCAAAAAAGGUAAAACCCUUUCUUUGCAUGCAUGGGUCGGCUGGGCCCAAGAUAUUCUAAUUCCGUCCAAGAUUUUGUAUCACAAUCCCAUGCGAGGGAAAUUUAGGAAUAACAUGUACAGAUAAAUAUGCCUCAGUCUCUUUUGACCAAAUGCAUGUAGAUUAGUUGUAUGCAGGUAAUUUCAUGCUUUGCAUGUUACGGGUCUGUUGUAGAGAGAGAGUUGUGUCUGAACACAAAUUAUCUGAAAUCUUUGUUUCCAGGUUCAAAACUAUUGCUUUUGAUUUUUAGUAGUUGUGUGUUUUUUAUUAUAACUCUUUCUGCAACGAACUGAAGGGGGGGUCACAAAAAGAUAUAAGUAUCACUAAUGGAGCGUUGGAAGAAGCUUGCGAUAAAUUGCGUGUCUGUUUUCAGUCCCUCAAAAAUCAAUCAUAAGUUUUGAAAUUAAUUGCAAAUUUGAGAUUAAUUGCUUCUUGAAACAAGCAGAUAACUACAGUUAACAUUGGUCUAUGAAUUGUAUAAUUGGAACAGAAUAUUCGUAAUUGAUUGCAAAUAUUUUAUUGCAACACCCUCUUAGAGUCAUGAAUAAAUGCCUAGUUUCGUGCACUAUAAAAUGCAUGACUGCAUUGGUCAGAUCAUGGCGAGAUGACGCGCAGUACUGCGUAUCAAUAAGAUUGCGCGUUGCUUAUAUCGUAUACAUGUCGGCAUUUAAGUACGGCUCUAGGUCUUACUUAUCUUUGUGAACCACCCCCCAGUCUGGAAAUUUCUUCCAAUUUAGCUGAUUACUUGAUAUAUAGGUCUACUUAGACAAACUUACAUGUUACUGUACAUGAAAUGUACUUACGUGUUUAUGUGUUAAAGAAAAACAGCAGCUGAAUUUAUCCAGUCAUCUCCUAUUUGUUCCAAAGAUUUGUCACCUUGACAGUCAUUUUAAUUAGGUUUGUAGAGGAAUUUCAUGUUGUACAAUGAGCUUAAGCAUGGUUUUCAAAUAUUUAAUUUCAUUUUUAUUGAAAGUUUGAGAUAUGAGAAGUUCUGCAAAAAGAUAUUAUUGAACCUUAAGAUUUUUUAGGGAAGUCAUAUUGAUUGUCAUGCUUGAGUAUACCUAUUUCAAAUUUUCAGUUAUAACCAUUGAAAUACUUGCAUGUGAAUUCUGUUUUCUGUUGUGAAGUUAUCAGAUGAUAUGACCAAAAUUUUUGUAAAUGGAGUAUUGGAGACAGAACAGACCACAAAUGAUGACUAUGGUUUCCUUAAUACCAAUUCACAUUUUUAUGUUUUAAAGGGUUUGGAAUGGCCUUGUACUGAUUGUAGGUUUCAUUUAUGAACCUCUUUUGCUUCAAAAUUAUAUUAAAAUGUUUUUUUGUGUGUGUUUUUUUUAUUCAAAAUUGAAACUGUCAAACAUUCCAUAUCAAGAAUUAUAGCUCUUUACUCUAUAUUUCGGAGCUAUUUUAUUUCAGCUUCACAACAAUUCAGGAGAAUAACGUUUGCUUAGAGUUCCUGUGUCUCGUUAGUUACAUGUGUAGAGAUUAACAUCAAGUAUCAUCGGACUUUAUAGAGCUCCAAAUAAUUUACUAGAAAACUCCAUAGAGACUGCUUCAUGGAGAAGUACAGUUCUAGACUUUUUUCUAGUGUAAGAAGUGUACAUGUAAGAAGUUCAUUAUGUUAAAUGUUCUUUGGAAAUUAGAAGUGCAAUAUUGAUGUAAUGAUUAUUGGAGAUUGAUGCUUGCAUUGUACAUUAUACAAUGAAAGUUUUUCUUUCAUUUUACCUUGUCUUAACCACCCCCCCCCCUUCCUUGCUCCCCUCCACCUGUUUCUUUCUCCAUCCUGACCCCUCAUCUUCCACUUGUCAGCUUCCCUUCCUUCACUCUGGUUUCAUGUCAUUUUCCUAGGAUAUUGUUUGAAAAAAAAAAUAAUAGGGAAAUACAUGUUUAAUAGAAAGGGGCUCACUUUCCUUUGGAAGAUAAGCCACAAUGUAUCUCCAUAAAACAGUUCUAUUAACCUUGUGAUCUUGAGAAUGUGUUUUUAAAAGAAUAACAAGCCUUGGUCCUUCUACAAAAGAGGCCUGUAGUCAUCUUCAGUGGUUCAGAGUGGAGAGUAUUUCAUGGGUCAAAUAGUGAUUUACUUGACCAAUUUACUCGGAGCCAAUAAGAUGCAAGGACUUCAGUAGCUUAACAACAGUCAGUAAAAAUCACUGAUAAUUUGUUUUUGUGAAAUGCUCCCAGGAUGAGAGGUAAUAUCAGGCUUGUGAAAUCUCUGAAGCAUUUCAGGUUAUUAAUAGUUUGUGAUUUUUGCUGACUAUUGUUAUAAGCUAUUGAAAUCCUUGCGUCUGAUUGGCUGAGGGCAAAUUUUCCAGAGACAAUCACUGACAAGUUGCUUUGGUGACACAUCAUUUGCUCUGGUCUUAACAUCUCAAAGGGUACAUGGUUCUGAAAUUACCCAUCAUUAUGUAACUGCAUGCCAGACCAAAAAUUGCUCAAAAAUGUGGUUUUGUGUACAAAGUCAAUGCAAAUUGUGUUAUCAAAGGUAUGAUUUUU